Molecule: RNA transcript, 1267 nt
Organism: Carlito syrichta (Philippine tarsier)
Lineage: Eukaryota; Metazoa; Chordata; Mammalia; Primates; Tarsiidae
Gene name: mortality factor 4-like protein 1
Exons: 2
Source: RefSeq, a predicted model, not a curated record
GGCCCAAGAAGUAGAGCAGGCGGUGCCUGACGGCGCGUCUGACGCGAAGUUGGGUGGGGUAGAGAGUAGGGGGCGGUAGUCGAGGUGGUGGGAGAAGGAGGAGGCGGCGAAUCGCUUAUAAAUGGCGCCGAAGCAGACCCGAAGCCGAAAUUCCAGGAGGGUGAGAGAGUGCUGUGCUUUCAUGGACCUCUUCUUUAUGAAGCAAAGUGUGUAAAGGUUGCCAUAAAGGACAAACAAGUAAAAUACUUUAUACAUUAGGGUGGUUGGAAUAACAGUUGGGGCGAAUGGGUACCAGAGAGCAGAGUACUCAAACACGUGGACACCAAUCUGCAAAAGAAGCGAGAACUUCAAAAAGCCAAUCAGGAGCAGUAUGCAGAGGGAAAGAUGAGAGGGGCUACCCCAGGAAACAUCUGUUCUGCAACAGAAAAAUGUUGAAGUGAAGACAAAAAAGAACAAACAGAAAACACCUGGAAAUGGAGAUGGUAGCAGUACCAGUGGGACACCUCAGCUUCCUCAGAAGAAAAGGGCCUGGGUAGAUCCUACUGUUGAAAAUGAGGAAACAUUCGUGAACAGAGUUUAAGUUAAAGUAAAAAUUCCUGAAGAGCUAAAACCAUGGCUUGUUGAUGACUGGGACUUAAUUACCAGGCAAAAACAGCUCUUUUAUCUUCCUGCCAAGAAGAAUGUGAAUUCCAUUCUAGAGGAUUGUGCAAAUUAUAAGAAAUCUCCUGGAAACACAGAUAAUGAGUAUGCUGUUAAUGAAGUUAUGGCAGGAAUAAAAGAAUACUUCAGUGUAAUGCUGGGCACUCAGCUACUCUACAAAUUCGAGAGGCCACAGUAUGCUGAAAUUCUUGCGGAUCAUCCUGAUGCUCCCAUGUCCCAGGUGUAUGGAGCACUGCAUCUGCUGAGAUUAUUUGUGCGAAUUGGAGCAAUGUUGGCCUAUACACCUUUGGAUGAGAAGAGCCUUGCUUUAUUACUGAAUUAUCUUCAUGACUUCCUAAAAUACCUGGCAAAGAAUUCUGCAACCUUUUUUAGUGCCAGUGAUUAUGAAGUGGCCCCUCCUGAAAGCUGUGUGAGAGGCAUUCGUGCUCACUAUGUUUGGAUCUCUGUAAACACGUUUUUGUUCUUAGUCUUUCUCUUGUACAAAUGAUGUACUUUGAAGAUGUUAGUGUAUAACAAUUGAUGUUAGUUUUCUGUUUGAUUUUAAACAGAGAAAAUAAAAGGGGUUAUAGCUCCUUUUUCCUUUUCUUACUUUUUUUUUCAUUUCAAA